CAGUAGCCGCGGUAAUACGAAGGGGGCUAGCGUUGCUCGGAAUGACUGGGCGUAAAGGGCGCGUAGGCGGAUGGCACAGUCAGAUGUGAAAUUCCCGGGCUUAACCUGGGGGCUGCAUUUGAUACGUGUGAUCUAGAGUGAGGAAGAGGGUUGUGGAAUUCCCAGUGUAGAGGUGAAAUUCGUAGAUAUUGGGAAGAACACCGGUGGCGAAGGCGGCAACCUGGUCCUUGACUGACGCUGAGGCGCGAAAGCGUGGGGAGCAAACAGGAUUAGAUACCCCUGUAGUCCCUGUCUCUUAUAC
Molecule: ribosomal RNA, 301 nt
Filed under: uncultured bacterium
Lineage: Bacteria
Description: partial 16S ribosomal RNA
Rfam family: Bacterial small subunit ribosomal RNA
Source: RNAcentral